GAUGAACGCUGGCGGCGUGCCUAAUACAUGCGAGUCGAGCGAACAGAUGAGGAGCUUGCUCCUCUGACGUUAGCGGCGGACGGGUGAGUCACACGUGGAUAACCUAACUCUAAGACUGGGAUAACUUCGGGAAACCGGAUCUAAUACCGGAUAAUAUAUUGAACCGCAUUGUUCAAUAGUGAAAGACGGUUUUGCUGUCACUUAUAGAUGGGUCCGCGCCGGAUUAGCUAGUUGGUGGGGUAACGGCUUACCAAGGCGACGAUCCAUAGCCGACCUGAGAGGAUGAUAAGCCAGACUGGGACUGAGACACGGCCCAGACUCCUACGGGAGGCAGCAGUGGGGAAUAUUGGACAAUGGGCGAAAGACUGAUCCAGCAAUGCUGCGUGAGUGAUGAAGGACUUAGGGUUGUAAAGCUCUUGUACCCGGGAUGAUAAUGACAGUAACGGGAGAAUAAGCCACGGCUAACUCAGUG
Molecule: ribosomal RNA, 472 nt
Filed under: uncultured bacterium
Lineage: Bacteria
Description: partial 16S ribosomal RNA
Rfam family: Bacterial small subunit ribosomal RNA
Source: RNAcentral